This 253-nucleotide ribosomal RNA is filed under the name uncultured bacterium. RNAcentral describes it as "partial 16S ribosomal RNA". It matches the Rfam family "Bacterial small subunit ribosomal RNA", at positions 524 to 776 of the family's 1533-position model. The record is from RNAcentral.
UACGGGGGGGGCAAGCGUUGUUCGGAAUUACUGGGCGUAAAGGGCUCGUAGGCGGCCAACUAAGUCAGACGUGAAAUCCCUCGGCUUAACCGGGGAACUGCAUCUGAUACUGGAUGGCUUGAGUUCGGGAGAGGGAUGCGGAAUUCCAGGUGUAGCGGUGAAAUGCGUAGAUAUCCGGAGGAACACCAGGGGCGAAAGCGGCCACCUGGACUGCACCUGACGCUGACACGCGAAAGCUAGGGGAGCGAACGGG